UUGCUAAAUAGCACCAAAACUUAAUUGAUACUCACCAUUUCAUUGAACAAUUUUUUUAUGGUGUCAUUGAGGUUGCCUUCCCAACAUCCUUCAUCAUCAUCAUCUUCUUCAUCAUCAUCUUUUUCUUCUUCGGUGACGUUCACUUUGUUUAGCAUUGGUGUGUCUAAGACUCCUUGAGAGAAGAUCUUCAUUUUUGGACACAGUCUCACAACUACUUGUUUCAAGGACGGGAAUUCAAGAGCGUAAUUACCUAAACAAAAGCUUGUUAGGCUUGGCAAACAGUCAAGUUCCAAGUACCUCAAUUUCCCAAAAACAAUGCAAUCUUCCGUUUCUUCUCCAACCUGCGACUGUAUAAUUUCUUCCAUCAUUUUGCAAUCAACUAUCUUCAUUCUUCCGAGAUUCACUAGAUUUUUAGAUGCUGAGAGCGUCAACACAUUUAUCAACCCGUGACACUUCGAUACUUGUAGUCCCCACAGAUUUUCCAAAUGCCACGAAGGUGGUACUAAUUUUUGCAACUUACUACAUUCCGAUAUUUCUAGCCUUUCCAAGUUUGCAAACACUUUGUUGGAUUCGUCAUUUUCCUUCCAGAGAUGCUGCACUUUGUGUAAUCCAGACAGUCUUAACUUCCUCAAUUGAGGGAAAGCAACCUGAAAAUCAACAAAGUUAAGUUGUAAAAGAAAAUACGUAUCCAAUCUCUGGAGUCUUCACCUGCAUAUUUUAUGGACAAGAUUAAUCACGGCAUUUUAUAUUUUAUCUCCAAAUUAGUAUGCUUUGUAGUAGGAUCCCAAAUAUAAGUAUCAAAUCGAUUACCCUUUGAAACACAUAAAUGAAAUCUAAUGCUAAAUCCAAUAUGAAUUAGCUAGGAAAACAGAGAUGUUACACACAUAAUUAAUAUAGUUCAUCACCUCGUGUUAUCAGGCAUCCAAUUAAUUUCAGUCAUUUUUAUAAUUCAUACUAUAAAGAUAGUUAAUAACUGAGGUUAUAUUGUUAAAUCAUAUAUAAAUUAAGAUGACAUGCAAAAAGAUGAGUCAUUAAAUUUGACUUGAUUCUAAUGAAAUUACAUCUGUGCGAACAAAAGUGAAGGGAAUAAUAAUAAUAAUAAUAAUAAUAAUUACCUUUUCAUCGAAGAGGGGUUGUACUUGAUGAGCCAGCAAGAAGUACUCUUCUAAUGUUAAUUUUUGAGGUUCCUUGUUAUCAGUUGUCACAUGCACUACAGAGUUGGAUAUAAAUGUUUCCAUAUCAGGGCAAUUCUCAAUAGUCAGACUCCACAACAUAGGCAUUUCAAUUAUAUUCCCAGUGAAGUUGCAGAAUCUUUUGAGUUUUGGAAGAUCAAUGAGCGUUAGGCUAAAAAGCCUAGGAAACAGGGGGCCUAUAUGUUCUUUGUCAGCAUUUAGCUCUUCCAAAUGAAGCAUCUCUUCUAGUGAAUCACAAUUCCUCACUUCCAGCCUUGCCAAAUUGUUCAAGCAUCGUAGCAGAUUGGCAGGAAUAGCACUCGACAUAUUGGUGCAGUAAUCCACCUCCAGCUCUGCUAAAUAGUUGAAGAAGCGGACAGGCAGUGCUUGGCCAUGCCAUAUUUCUUUCAAACGUGGAAAAUGUGAGAGUUGCAAAUACUGUAUGUCACGGAAUCCAAUCUGCACAAACCAAAACAAUUGCACUGGAUAUAUAUAAAUACAUUAAACUUACAUGUUUUGUGUUUUAACUUCUAAAACUAUAUAUACAAGGCAGGUGUAUAUGUUCAAAUGUCCAAGUGCAAGGGAGAUGCAUAAGUAAUUUCGACGAAUCGAUUUAACACAUACCAUUUCUUCGUAACACUUUUGUAUAGUGGAAUUAAGGUUGCCUUCCCAACGGCGCAAUUCACCCUCUCCCUGUUAAGAAUAGAAUUAGUUAGUUAAUGAGUAUGCUGACAUGGCAGCUGAGUCAGCUAAAGGUUGUUAUAGAGGUUGUUAGUAGUAAACUGUGCGUGUGUGCAAUGUGUGUAGAAUCUUCUAUGCACAUAUAAAAAGGCUUGCAAUUUCCAGAUUCAUUAGAUCAAUAAUAACAGAAUUCUCAGCUUACAGAAGUUUUCUUUCCUGCACUUUGUACAGCUUUGGUGUGGAUAAGAUUCCCUGGGGAAAAGUCUUCAUGUUCGGACAAUGUGUCACCGAAACUCGUUCCAAUGAUGGGAAUUCAAGAGUGUAAUUCUCCAAACAAAAGCUGGUAAGCCUUGGUAAAUAAUCAAGUAUCAAAACUUUUAAAUUAAAACAAAAAUAAAUAAAUAGAAGUCCAGAAAAACAAAGAUAAUGAAAAUGCAUUUACACUAAAACGCUGUAUUUCCCUUUUUUUUUUCCCGAUAUUCAUGCUUUUAAAAAUGGAAAACAUUUCUGGAAAACACUUCCCAACGCCAUCAACAUGGGACUGUUACAGAGUGAAUAUUUGAGGAAAUUUUUUAAUAAACGGUCGAUUCAAAAUGACCAUCAUGAAUUUGUGCUUAAUCAAUGGCGUAAUCAAUUCAUAACUAAACUAGAGAUAUUAACUACAUUUGAACACUUUGCUUUAUUUAUUUUUAAAUCGAAAUCUAAAGACCAAGGAAAAGAGAAAUAUAUAGGAAUUUGUGAACUUAAAAGCUGAGUAACUAAGUAUCUUUUAAUUUCUGAAAAUCUUAUUCAUUAGGAUUUAAGGAAAAAAAACAAUUAAAUUAAAUUAUAUUAUGCUGUUAAAUCGUGUUUAAAAUAAUUAUAUUGUUGACUUUAAUGCAGGUGAACCUAUAAAUUAGAUUGAAAAUGCAGAGUUCAGAAUGGUGAUUUGAAGUACAAUACUUUUUUUCCCUCUAGAAGUUUGAAGUACAAUACUUGCAAUAAAUAAUUUGUGAAUGAAAAUUAUUUGUAAACAAAAAAAUGAUUAAAAUAAUUGUUGAAUGUUAUUUGAAAUAAAAAUUCAAAAUGAAUAUAGCAAUCUUACCAAUGGAGGAAAAAUAUUCAGUAGAUUAUGACACACAGAUAUCUCUAAUUUUUUCAAUUUGCUAAAAGACUUCGAAGCAAGCUGGUGGUGCCAUAUUUUUCUCAACUUAUCCGCCCCACGAAUAUGUAAUACCUCCAGACUUGGGAGUCGUACCUGAAGUUAAAAAUUCAAUGCAAUUAGAGAUGGAUAUUAAUUAAAUUUGAAGACUCAACGAAAGAAGAAAUUAACUAUUAAGAAUAAAAUUAAUUUAAAAAAAAAACCUUUGCAUCAAAGAGAGGUUGAGGUUGCAUUUCAGAAUUAGCUUCUGGUGAGGCAAAGCUACUUAGUUUUGGAAGACCAUCGAGCUGCAGGAAGUGUAGUUUAGGAAAAACCUUAAAUUCAUCUCUUCCUCCUAACCCCGUGGUGUUGACUAUCCCUUCCAUUGACCAACAAUUAAUAAUCUCAAGAUGUCGGAGCUGCCCAAGACUAUUAGCCAUAGAAUAUGAAAACAUAUACUUCAGAGGACAACACCUUGUCACGGUCACUUUUGUUAAAUUUUGACAACAAUACAUUCCCUGAAAUUGAUCGGGCCAUAAUUUUUUGAUGUUUGUUAAACUGACAAGUUCCAGUUCCUCCAAGCGUGGAAAAGUAACCUGCAAAGAAAAACCAUACAUUUUUUUUCCUUCAACUACAACUUCUAAUAUAAUAUUCUUUCGAUGAUUGAAGAUCAAUCGUGAUAAUAUAUUAAUUAAUUAAUUAUUAAACAGAAAAUUAUCACCUGAUCAUCCUCUGCAUUGAUUUCUGUGAAUCCCUGAGUAGUUGUUGGUUUCUCCAUGUCGGGCCCUAUAAAUGAACAAAAACAAUAUAUGAUUAACCUCUGUUGUCCCCUCCCAAAACAAAAAAAAAAAAAGAAUGAGCCAAUGUCAAUAAUCCUACCAAUAAUUAAUUUAAACACUUACCAAUCAUCAUUUUCAAUUUAUUGCAAUUUACCACUUCUACUUUUUGAAGCCCCAAUAGGUUUUUGGCCAUAGAGAAUGAGAAGAGAUACUUCAAUUUUGGACAGGAAUAUACGUAUAUAAUCCUUAAGUUGCUGAAAGAUUGAUCUUCUCUGAGUUGGCUGUAGCAUAUCGUCUCCAAAUUAGUUAAAUUAAUAAGAUCCAAUGAUUCCAGCAAGGGAAAGACUUCGCAACGAACCCGUCUAACUGAACCGACAAUAUGUAAAAUCUCAGAACAACCUGUUACAUGAAGAUGCUGCAAUCGUGGAAAACCUUCCCCAUCGUCUAAUUCAUGAACAACAUUCUGAACACCCGUCAGUGAGUAUAGACGGAGAUCUUCAGUUCUCUUCAGCAACAUUUUCGUCCCAUCAUUCCCCAAAAGAAGGCUAACUUUUUCUGGCCCCUUGAGCACCAUCAAUGUUGAUGUUUUAGAUUCGACGAGUCGUCGGUUAGACAUUUGUCCUAUAAAUAUCUUAUAUCUUUCCAAUUCCAUAGAGACAAAAUCCGGCGGCAGAAUUUCGGAAUCCGAAACAUCUAUCUCCAAAGUAGUUAGAUUUGACAACCCCUUCAACUCGACAAGACUGGCAUUACUUCCUCCUUCAACCUUAUCCCACUGUGAAAAGCUGUUAUGCAUAAACAGUUCUUCUAAUCCAGAUAAUUUUGAUAUGACAUUUGGUGGUAUCAACUCAAGGCUCCAACAAUUGCUCAAAUCUAGCAACUGUAACCGCGUCAAUCGUCCAAUUUCAAGUGGUAACUGCUUGAUAUCGGAAUCUGCAAGGCUGAGAAUCUCUAAUUUCUUUAGCUGUCCAACUAUUGCUAUAUCUUUUAGUCGGCAAUAGUCUAAACGCAAUGUUUGAAGGUUAAUGAGGCAACCAAGUGAUGAAGGUAAUGAAGAGAAUUGAAUUCGAGUAAAAUUCAAAACUUUGAGUCCUUCCGUCCCUUUAAAGAAGUGAUCUGAAACUUGCAUAGAGCCAUCACCCUCCGCAUGCAAUAGCUCAAGACAGGGACAUUGCAACCUUUCAGGAAGCACUUGAAUACCUCCAUAAGGUAAAGAAAUAGCAAUUGGACCUUCCUGUACUGUAUCUUCCAUCUUUUUCUCCAAGUCGGCAACAUUUGGAAUAUUAAACAUGAGCUCCUCUUCUGCAAUUGAUACAGCAACUACACGAAUGACGUCAUGCAUUUUAACUUCAUCUUCAGCAUCACUGUCCAACAAUAAGCAUGAAGAUUUGAGUUUGUCGAUCAACGUAUGCAAUCUCCUCCUUGCUUCUUCCAGUGAGUAAACCUUUUUAAAAUAGUCCAUACCCAUACCAUAUCUCAAUAAGUCUGGAACAGGUAUAGCAUAACCUUUACUAAGUAGACCACAAAGACGGAACAGAGAUUUUGCCUCCGCACUUUCCAGCAAGUUGUAACUCAAUUUUAUGGAGGUGUACACAUUUCUUUCCAUUCCAUCAAUUUCUCUUGCAUCGGAACUUCUUAGCUGAUUCAAUGCAUCCUUCCAAAUGUCAAGAUCCUUAGUUUUCAGAGCUUUUGCAACUGUACUCAGUGCAACAGGCAAUCCUCCGCAUUUUUCAACGAUCUCAUCUGCAGUGGGUUGAAAAGCAGAUAUUUUAGUUGAAUCACCCACUAUCUUCUCAAAUAACUGCAAGGCUUCUUCUUUUGAUAAAGCAUCGAUCGGGAAAUUUUUCUGAGAAUUCAUAUCAGUGCACAAUAAAUCUCGACUUCUAGACGUCAGUAUUAUUGUGCAUCGUCUCUGAUCAUCCAUUCUUUCGUUCGGAAUCCCAACUUUAUCGAACUCCAGUUCCCCCCAAAUAUUAUCCAAUAUAAUGAGAUGCCGCUCCUUGUUCUUCAAUACUCGACAUAGUCGAUUUGCUCUGUCGAAUAUACUCUCAUUCAACUCAAACUUUAUGCCUAAAUCAGAAGCAAGUUUGUCUUGAAUUUUCUGAUGAUCUGGGUUCUCUGUUACCUCAGCCAUAGCGACCUUAUCGAACAACUUAUUUGUUUCCAUCACUUGCUUUGCAACUUGCUUGACUAGCGUGGUUUUACCCACGCCGCCCAUGCCGUAGACCCCAAUUAUGUUGAGUUUCUCAUCCUUCAACGCCUCCAUAACAUCCAGUAAUACUUUCUUUCUUGAAUCAAAGGCCUCGUUAUCUUUCCCGCCCCUAAGUGCUUCGAUAUCUGCAGAAGGAUCGAAGGCAAUUUCUUCACUCUUCAGUUUGUCGCCUUUUUCCAUGAGAUUAGCAGCAUCUUUUGCGGCCUUUGCUGCUCGUUUACUGAGUUUGUAACGAGACAACAAAUUUGCACACAAUCCUUUGAAGCAGGACUUCUUGGCUCCAUCUUCUUCAUCAAUGAUAGAUUUUGCAACCCCCUCCGUAGAUUCAACCUUACUUCGCCAAUCUUUGACACCCUGAUAAAUCUCUUUGCCUUGUCGAGUAUCAUGCUUAACACGUUGUUGCACCAUUUCGUUUAUACCUUCCAACCCCUUCACUUGAUCUUUUAGCUCAUCUAUGUAGCUCUGGUACUUGAACACAUAAGAUAUUUGCCGUAUAAUCGGUUUGAACAGUGACUUUGCACCUUCUAAUACAGUGCUGGAUAAAGCAGCCAGAGCCACUUCUGCCAUUGUCUGCUACUUAACAAAUCUAAUAAUAUAUCAAAGAAAGGAAUACAAAUAAAUUAAAAGGAACUAAAGGGAAAGACAGAGAAAGAAAAGACGGCAAACAACAUCGCAAUAUUGAUCUUGAACCAACUGAUACCUAAAUAGAGAAUUUCUUUUACUAUCUUAAGGAUCAGAGGUUUCGCUAUUAACCGAAAGGUAUCGCUUCUAUUUUGUCACUUUGAACGAAUAACUUUAUGUUUUUAACGGAUGUUUAAUACAAAUUGCAUACAUUGGGUGUAAAAUUAAAUAAAUUUAAAUAUUUAUAAUAAUUUUAAUAAUUGAAUAAAACUUUGAGUAAAUGACUGAUAAUUUCUCUAAGAUGAUUUAUUGUUUGGGGUCUAAGAUUUUAAAUAUUCAACUUAAAAGAUUAAUAUCUUAUAAAUUGAUUAAUUAAUUAAUCAUUAAGCAACUAAAUUGGUCCCUGGAUGUCAAUUUAUUUAAUAUUGACGCAACUAUUUUUUUUUCUGGCAAAUAAUUAUUAAUGCACUUAGGGCGUGUUUGGUUAUAAUAUUAAGAGAGUAUUAAAAUAUUGUUCACAUUAUCUUAAUGCCAAUAUCAUGUUUGGGGGUAUGGGGGAUUAUGGGGGUAUGCUAAUGCGGCAACCUGACUGUGAGUCGGGAAAAGCUAAUGAGGCAACUUUGCUUGUGCUGCUUCUUUUUUUUUUUUCUUUUGCUUUCUUUUUUGCUUUUUUUUAAUAAUAUUAAAUAAUAUAAAUUUUAAUUUAAUUUAAUAGAAUAUUAUAUAAUAUUAAUUUUUAUUUUCUCUUAUUUUGACAUCAUAAUUAUUAAUAUAAAUUAAUUAUUUUUAUUCAUAUUUUAAUUUUUAUUACUAAAUAAUAAUUAUAUAAUAAUUAAUAUAUAAAAUUGAUUAAUAAAUACUUAAAUAAUAUAAAAAUAAGAAUAUAACUUGAUAUUACAUUAUUUAAUUAUAUUAUAGUAAUUAAUAUAUAUGAAAAUUUAAUAUAACUAAUAAAAAUAUUUAUAUAUGAAUAAAUUUAAAUAAUAUUAAUUUAAAAUUAAUAUUAAUAAAAAUAAUAAUAUAAAAUAUCAUUAUGUUAUGAUAUUAUUUAGGUAUUAAUAAAUAUUAUUUUCUAAAUAUAUAAUUUAAGUUAAUCACAAAAAAUUAAUACAGUACAGUGUAGCACCAAACAUUGUAUUAUGCUGUAUGCCUGUAUUGUAUUAGCACUGAUUGGGUGUAAAGCGUUUGUAAGUGGCUUUUUAAGUCUGCCGUCAAAUCCCCUGCAAAAGCUUUUUUCUUAAUAUCACGCGUGUUGGUACUACAUAAAACCGUAAACUCCAACAAUUUCUUAGUUCUCAACACCCCUUAAUUUACAAGAAUUAAUCACUUCAAGGGUGGAUUAGGUAUAUCUUUAGUUCAUAUAUAACUAGCAAUAUCUAAUAUCCCAUAUACAUGUUUUUCUCCCAGAAUGUAAACCAACUAUUCAUAUCUUAGACUCCAAGUAUUCGUAUCUUAAAGUCAAUCGAUAAUAUUAAUUUAAAUUUAAUAAUAAUAUAAAAUAUUAAUAUAAUAUAAUAUUUAAUUUAAAUUAAUUACAAACAAAUAAUAUAGUACAAUGUAGCACCAAACAUUGUAUAGCAUUAUUAUAAUACAAUGCUAAUGCAAUACAAUAUAAUAUAAUCCACCAACAUUAAAAUAAUAUAAUAUAGCAUAAUACAAUACAGUGUGUCAAAUGCACCCUUAGGGUGUGUUUGGUAUGUGGUAUUGCAUAGCAUUAAAUGUGGGCCCAACAUUAAUUUAAACCAAUAACAUGUUUGGGAGCAAUUGAGGCUUAUUGGGAUUGGCUGCUGUACCGUACAUCCGCCUUGGCCGUACAGCAGUUUAAAAAAAAAGUAACUCAAAAACGAGGAAUUUUUGAGUAACUGAAGAACCAUAGAUGUUAGCUUGUCUUUUUUUUUUUACUUUUAUUUAAUAAUAAUAUAAAUGAAUAAAUAUAUAAUUUUUAAUUUUUAAUAUAAUAUUAUUUUUAUUUUUAUAUCAUAAUUUAUUAAUAAAUUUAUAAUUUAAUACUGCUNNNNNNNNNNNNNNNNNNNNNNNNNNNNNNNNNNNNNNNNNNNNNNNNNNNNNNNNNNNNNNNNNNNNNNNNNNNNNNNUACGGUACAGCAGAUAUAUAAAUUAUUUAUUUUUAAAUAAUUUAAUAUAAAAAAUAAAAAAAUAUUUAAAUACAAAUGAAUUUCAAUAAUAUUGAUAUACGAUUAAUAAUAACAUAAAUAAUAAUAUAAAAUAUUAGCACAAUUCAUUUUGCUAUUAAAUAUGUUAUAACAAUUUUGUCAUUUUAUAAUUUUGUGGUGUAUAUGAACAUAUGUCUUAAGAUUAUUUUUGAACAAAUCUUGUAGGUUUUAACUAUUUAUUUUUCUUGUUAUAUUAUUUCAAGAUUAUUUGAUUAAAUUAUUUGCUUCGAUAUUUAACAAGUUAUAUAUUUAGAAAAUAUAGAAAAUAAAUGUUAUGCUUCCAAAAAUUAAAGGAUAUAACGUUCGAUCUUUAUGAAGAAUUAUGAUAUUUUUGAACAUUUAUACUAAAAAAUUAUUAAAUUUUUAGAAAAUUAAAAGAUAUAACAUUCGAUCUUUAUGAAGAAUUAUGAUAUUUUUUAACAUUUAUACUAAAAAAAUAAUUAAAUUUCUAAAAUUUAAGACCUCUAUAUUUAGUUUUUUUUAAGUACUAUUAAUAUUAUUUUAUAAAUAUAUAAUAUAAAUUAAUUACAAAAAAUUAAUACAGUACAGUAUAACACCAAACAUAAUAUAAUUAAAAAUUAAUACAGUACAGUGUAAUACCAAAUAUUGUACAAUAUUAUUAUAAUACAGUACUAAUGUAAUACAACAUAAUACAAUACACUGCAUAAAAAUAAUGUAAUUUAGUGUACCAAACACACCCUUACAGAACUUUUGCAUAUCUACACAGCGAUUUUAAAUAUUACUGAUAACUCCUGAGAAAUGUGUGAGAAAGGAGUUGAUAAGAGUAAUAACAGCGACUUGCAAAAGGAAAAGACAGAAUCAUUCACCCCUUUUUAUAUCAUGUAUUUGGUUACUGUUGCCCUGUUGACGCAUGUAUAAAAUAACCGUAUGUAUUUUUUUUGGCUGUUGCUUAACAAAAUGUGUGUUUGUGUGUGUAUAUAUAUAUAUUUGCUGUUUGAAAAAAUUGGAUUCAAAUAAAUUAAAAUGAACUAGAGAGGAAGAGAAAGAAUGAAAAGACAACAAACAAUUGAUAUUGAUCUCGAACCAACUUCUUUCUUUCUUUCUUUCUUUUUUGUGUUUUUUUUUUCGCCCGUACCCCCUCUCAGAUUAGAGUAUUGGCUAUUAAAUGAAAGGUUUUAAGGGUAUGAGUGAAAAACAACAUUCUUUUUUAGAAACUAUUUUAGAGGAGGGAUGCAAAUUAAAUGACAAGAUUAAGACAAACAGGAGAUAUUUUUUCGUGGGCAUUAAGAAAUAACUGCUGUCAAGAUCAAGGAGAUUAUGCUAUUAAUAGAAAUUAUCAAAGGAUUUAGAACAAGUUCACCUCUUUAAUUAUCCGGGAUCAGAUAGUUGAUGAGCUUCUCUUCUUGGCGUUGAAUAUUUAAGAAUAAUUUUAAUGAGCAAAAAGAUCACUGGUAACUGCUGAAAAAUAAGUGAGAAAAGAGUUGAUGAGAAUAAUAACAAUGAAUUGAAUAAAAAAAGGACUUAAUCAUGCACCCCCUUUGCAUAUCAUGUAUUUGGUUACUGUUGCCUUGUUGACGCAUGUAUAGAAUAAUUAGUGACUUCUUUCAUGAAGAAUUAAACUUGGAAUGACCAAAAGACGAAGCUGCGGUGUAUUGUUGGACCCAAUUAAGUUGAAGAAAGCACUAGUUCACAACCUUACGUUUGGAUAUAUUCUAAAGAAAUAAUUAAACAGCAAAUCAUCACAUGCACUUUAAUGAUUUGAUCUAUUGUUUUCAAAAGAAAUUGCAAUUAACAGUUUUUGUCAAAAGUUCGCACUGCGUGAAACUAGUGCUAAUAUAAUUUAAAAAAUUAAUUUCAGUAUUAGUUUUUAAAAUGUUAAUUAUUAUAUUUAUUUUAAUAAUAUAUUUAUAUUUAUUAUAAAAAAUUCUGUUAAACAUUUGUGUUAAAUAGAAUUUAUAAUUAAUAUAAUAUAUCUUAGGUAUUAAUAAUAUUAUAAUUAUUCUAUAUGCUAUUGAAAAUAAUUUAAAUUUUUAGACGUUUAUUUUCAUAUUAAGUUUCUAUUUAUUAUAAAAUUUAGUUUAAUAUAGUAUAAGCUUGUAAAGUAUUAAAAUAUUUUUUCAUAUUUUUUGAACAUAUUAAAAUUAUUUUAAAAUAUAUUUAUAUAUUAACAUUGAAGUCAAUUUUUUAAGUUAAUAGAACCAGUAGGUGUUAUAGUAAAAAAGCGUUUCUUAGCAUCACUUAUUGAAAAUAUAAAGAUCUAUAUAAUCAUUUUUUCAAAUAUUGAGAUGUAGUUAUAAAAGAAAAAAUAAAUUAAAAAAUUUUAAAUUUUAAUAUGGCCAUCGUAGAGUUAGAAUCCCCGCUCCAACCCGAUUUGGAGAUGAGCUUGGUCUAUUUAUGUUUUGGAAAAAGAAAAACCAAAGGAAAAAAAAGGCACCCGACCAAAUCAAGUAACUCAUCAAAUAAAAAAUAAAAAAAGGAAAGAAAUUUAAUGACUUGCAUGCAAUUUUGGAUCUGAAAUUAAAAUUACAUAAAAAUUAAGGAUUACGUACCUUAAUAUUUACAGCUUAUUUGAUGGACUCAACAGGUUUAAGCAACAUCAAAAUGUUUGUGGCUCCUUAAAUGAGCCCCCGACAUGGUGCAAAUGACAACAUCGACUUGUUUGACAGCUCCAACAAGGCUACGAUGAUCAGAAGAUGAGCCCUCAAUCAACAAGCUAAGAUUGGCUUCUCUAUCCUCUUCGCCCCACAACCAGCGCCUUGCUCUUUGUCAUUUUUCCUCUUGUUAGUUUUCUUCUACAUAUAAUUAUUACACUGGGAAGUAUACACACACCUCUUUUCUUUUUAUAGUACCUUACUAUUAUAUCUUUACAAAACAAUAUCACCCUAAGACAGCUAUGUAUGAAAUAAAUGAAAUAAAUAUAUAAGGAACUGACGAAAUAAAAUUAGAUCUAACUCUAAUUUCACGUUGCGUGAAUUUUUGACAAUUCACCCGUAUCCCAACAAAAGCUUUGUCAUAUUGCGAAAAUACCUUUUCAAUGUUUCAAUUGCAAUGUCAUUGCCAUUAUUCAUAGUGGCAGACAAUGGACGUCACGGGACGGUAGAAGUCUAUGUUACGGCUUGUGCAAGUAACAGCAGCCAAUGGGGAACUUCCACGGGUGCUAGAGGAGAGAGAAAGAGGUCCCAAUGCAAGGUGAUGGAAAUGGGAAAGUUCGAAGCUGUUACUUUCAGCUUCUGCACCUUAGCCAUGUCCCACGGGACAAGGCUAGAAGUUAUCAUGACCAUAAACUUUUCUAAUUUAUUUUUUCCUUUCAAAAAGGGACAAGGAUACGUUUCUUUGGAAGAAUGAUUAUAUUUUUAAUAAAUUCUUUUUUAUUAUAAUACUUUUUGUCUUUAUUAAUUUAAAAAUAUUGACUCUUAUAUUUUAAUAAAUAUAAAUAUAAUAUUAUAAUAAAAUAUAACAAUAUAUACAAAUAUUUAAAAAAAUUUAAGAUUUUAUUAAAAUAAAUUUUAUAAUAAAUACAAAUAUAUUAUUAAUAUUAUUUUUUCCCUUUCAAAAAGGGAAGAGGAUAAGUUUGGAAGAAUGAUUAUAUUUUUAAUAAAUUCUUUUUUAUUAUAAUACUUUUUGUCUUUAUUAAUUUAAAAAUAUUGACUCUUAUAUUUUAAUAAAUAUAAAUAUAAUAUUAUAAUAAAAUAUAACAAUAUAUACAAAUAUUUAAAAAAAUUUAAGAUUUUAUUAAAAUAAAUUUUAUAAUAAAUACAAAUAUAUUAUUAAUAUAAUUAUAAUAAUUUGCAUUUUAAAAAGUAAUACUGAUAUUAAUUUUUUAAAUUAUAUUACUCUACCAAAAAAAUUAAACUAUUAAAUUAUAUUGAUAUUUAUUAAAAAAAUUGAAGUUAAUUCUUAUUAUAUUUUUAAUUGGAAUUUUUUCAUGUGACAUAAUUACAAUUGCUACAUUUUUUUCCCUAAAUAAAGAUGGGAGUUAUAAAUUAUUUGUAUAAGUGUCUGUGUGUAAACUAAUGUGACAUGAAAGUAAUAGCUGAAUAACAAUAAUGGAGCUUUAGGUAAUUUUUUAUGAGGUCUUCUUGCAAUUUCAACACUUAAACAGACUUGUCCUUGAUCCCAAUUUAUUUACCCCAUUUGGGCCCCUUAUGACAAACAUAUUCUUGUGGAAUGAAAAACAUCAGGAGAAGAAAAUGUUUUAUUAUAAUAGAAAAAGUUGUCCAUAAGUCUAUUCAUUUUUUUUUUAUUCAAUACAAAUGGCCAACUUAAAAAAUGGUAAAAAUCACAUAACACACAAGCGAAAAUUUAUAUUUACAUUUUUUAAUUCUCACCGUGUCUCUCUUUCUCUUUUUCUUUUUUUAAAUAACUGUCGUGCAAAAUUAGAAAAAUCUUAGAUACAAAAUUUGGCGAUGACCAAACAAAAAUUGCAGGGGAAACCUUGAUAUCAUUGAAAUACUGAUCAUAGACAUUACAGUAUAAAUAACUUGUGAUCCCCUCAACUUGUAACACUUUAAUCCAUAUUCUAAAAUUUGUAUGUUCGUUAGGAUUUUUAUUAUUGACAUUACUGUAUCAAUAAAAUUAUAAUUUAUUCAUAUGGAAUGAAAACAUCAAGAAAGGACCUCGGAUGUUUAUUAUAACAGAAAAAAGUGGUCCAUAAGUCUAUUUAUUAUUUUAUUUAUUCAAUACAAAUGGCCAACUGCAAAAAUGGUAAAAAUCACACAAUGCACAAAUAAAAUUUUAGAAUUACAUUUUUUAUUUCUCUUUGAGUCUCUCUCUCUCUCUCUUUCUCUCUUUAAAAAAUAAACCUCAAUGUAAAAUUAGAAAAAUUUUAGACGUAAAAUUAGAAAAAUUUUAGAAUUUGACAAUCACCAAACAGAAAAUAUAGGGAAAUGUAAAAUUUGUAUUAGAAUAUUGAUCAUAGGUACUAUAAUGAAAAUGAUUUGUUGUGGUUCAUUCAAGCUGUCACACUCUAAGCCAUUUUCUAAAAUUUGUAAGGUUUAUAAGAUUUUUAUAAUUGGCAUCAUUGUAUCAAUAAUAUUAUAAAUUAUAUAUUCUAUUGUAAUGAAAAUUUGUGUAAUCUUAGGUAUUUAUUAUAUUAAAUUGUGUGGAUUAAUUAAGAAUAUUUUUGGAGACAAAAGAAGUGUGUGUACGUAGGAUUAAUAAUAAAAAAUUUCUAAAUAAAGGUGAUUGCUUCAUUGACAAGUACAUAUUUAUAUUCCUCUAUUAGUAAUUGGGUUGUAAACUCUGUUUGUAAAGUGAAUAUAUUGUGGUAAGCGAUGUGGGCAAUAUCGGAUGCAAAAUAUUGAGAGAUCAUUAACGCAUAUAUUUAUUGAAGACGCAUAUAGAGGAAAGAUUUUAAUUUUUGACCCCUGAUUGUGAUUUUUUUUUAAAGCACCUGAAUUUUGAAACAAUUAAUUAUCUAUUGAAAAAGAAAGAAAGAAAAGGAAAACAAAAGGAAAAGGGCACUUGCUCCAAGAAAGUUCUACUUUAAUGUGGCAAAUCAUUGAAACACCACAUGGCCAAAACUUUACUCUAUGCAUGACAACUCAUUGUAAUUGAUAAUGACCCUCGCAAACACUUGGCUACCAUGCGUGUAAUUCUAAGGCCAAGUGCUAAUUUGGUUUACUGAUGAAGAUGCUGAGCACAAGCUUCUGAAAAUGCAGAAUUACGAAUUUUUCGAAAGACUGCGAACCUUUAUGGAGAAAGACAACUAGGCCACUGGAAAACAUGUCGGUGGGAAAAUAAUUCUGAUGAUCGUUCAGCUCGUCCUUUGCUUCAUAAUUACUUUCUUCUUUCUUAAUUUCUCUCAUGGGUCUCGGUUUCUUCCUGAAGCUUGUUGAUGAUGAGUUGCAUAUGCCGAUAAUUCCUCACCAGAAAAUAAGAUGAAAAGGUAACUUUCUUAAUUUUUAAAAUGCUGAAUUUCAAUUUAAGGUACUAUUCAUUUUGUCUCUUUCAAGUUAUUUUUCAUUUUUCUGCUGAUAUUUUAAUAUUUACAGUCAAUUGUAGCAUUACUUAAAUUUAUAGUAUGUAGAUCAUAAUUCAUAAAUUAGUUUGCAGUUGGAGUAAACUCGAAAAUGUUAAAAAAAUAAUAAUAACAACAAAAAGAGUAGAGACAAGUUGUCAUCUUGAGUAACAAUAAAAUAAAGAAUUGCAGCUUUUACAAAGUCUUUCUUUAAAAAUAUGAAAUGAAUAAAAUGACUAUUAAAAUGGUUCAAAAUUUUCUGAUAGCAUAAUUCAUAAAUUAGUUUGCAGUUGGAGUAAACUCAGAAAUGUUAAAAAAAUAAUAAUAAAAACAAAAAGAGUAGAAAUAGGUUGUCAUCUUGAGUAACAAUAAAUAAAGAAUUCCAGCUUAUACAAAGUCUUUCUUUAAAAAUAUGAAACGAAUAAAAUGACUAUUAAAAUGGUUCAAAAUUUUCUAAUACUGUCAUUGACUAGCUAGAUCAAUUGUUUCUUGUGUGGUAACUUCAAACACCAAAUCCUUAAAAGCAAUUAUAUUAGUUUUGUAUGGUGUUGCCCAGCCUUCUGCACAUGGUUCAUGAUAUUUGAUCCAACUAUUCGCAAUAGGAGGAAUAGGUGAAGCUGGAAGCAUGAACACCUGUAAAAAAAAAAAAAAAGCCAUAGAAAAAUUAGUCCAAUAAUUAAGAUAUUGCAGCAUAAUUUGAAUUUCUAAACUUUUACAUACCUCUAUGAAAUGAUUUCUAUUAACAAAUCCAAUAGCAAUGAUUUUAUGCGAGGAGCGUGAUAAUGGAAUAGAUCUAAGUGGAAGGAAUGUGACAAUCAGCACAUCUGAUAUAUGUAGUAAUACCACAUUAUAUUUAGAAGCAAUAAUAUGACCAAUUUCAGGCAUGGUCAUCCAAUACUCUCUUCCUGGGUUAUUCUCAAAGUAUAAAAGUGAAUGAAGCACCUCCUCUGCUCUACCAGCAUAUUCAAAGACUCUUUUAUAAUCAUUAAAGUGACUUUGCAACUCAACAACUAAGACUUUCCUGACUUGUGCCCAGUUAUCUUCACCAAUACCUAUUAGGUCAGCCACUGCCUGAAAACCACAAUUACCAUCUGCAACAACAUCUCUAACACCACAAAUAUAAGGCCUCAAACCAAAUGGAAAUGAAUCAAUAUAAGAAGCAUGCUUUGGUGCUUUUGUUUGAGAAACACUCAUUUUUCGUUGCCCUUUUGGUUUUUUUGUAGUUGUACUUGAAGACAUAAUGUCUGGAGAAUGAUUAUCCUGUGCGGAUACUACAUACUCAAAUCUUGAUGGAUCUCGGCGGGUAGAUUUAUCAAGCUUUUGGGAGGGUCGUCCUCGAGUCUUAGCUUUAACAGGUAGCUCAAUUAAAAAAGUUAAGAAUGGAUCAGCUAAUUCUUUCAGUUUUCUUUUUAUUUGCAUUUUUCCGAAACCAUCUGAAUCUUCAAAACGCUUGAUAAUCAUUUCCAUUUUAGGGGUACAACUCAACUCUGCUGAUUUUUCAUAGCUGGUGCAGACAAGGUCUAAUUUCCUCCAAUGCAAAUGUACAGAAUCUAAAGGUAUCGGUCGACCUUCACGCUUAUACUCUGCAAUUUCAUGUGCACACGGUAGCCCAUAAGUGUGUCGAACUACACAACCACAUGCUGAAAUAUCUAUACCAAUUAAAUCAGCUCUUUUUGACUCACUUAGUAUCAUAUCUAAUGCAUUUCUAGCAACUAAUCCCCUUAAUUCUUUAAAAACUGAAGGUGUGAAACUAUGUUGCACAGUAGUCAAACUCUUCUCAAAUGAUGCCUUAAUUUCUGUAUGUUGCAACUCUACCAAAGAAUGAAGUUUUGUCCAUAACGUUACAAAGUUUCCUUGGGAUGAACAUAGUUGCCUUUUUAAUUUUGAAUGUGCAGUCUCAGCCCUAAAAAUAAACCAACAAAAAAAUAAUAAAAAGAUAUAUAAAAAAAUGGUGUUGAGUUUAGUUAUAAAAUCAUUGAAAACUAAAUAUUGUUUACCUGUUGGUUGUCAUAUUUCCGAAAUGCAUAAUAAAGUCUGUCCAUGCUGCAAUAAAUUUUUCUUUAUACUUAUCAAGCCAUGUCUGCUUCAUAUAGACAAGUGCUUUCGGAUAUCUAGCAUAAUCACUCUAAAAAAUACUCAAGUGUUGUAUGUACUCUUGUUCAGUGGCUGAGAACACCAGUACAUUCCAGUUGCUGUUAAAGGCUUCCCAUCUUUCAUUAGUAUGAAAUAGCCUCUUAUAAUUAGCUAACACAUUUUUUGAAAUAUGCCAUCUACAAAGUAAAUUAGUUGCACUUGGAAAUAUCUUUUCAAUGGCAUUCAUCAGAGCUAAUUCUCUGUCUGUCACAAUCACAGUUGGUAACAUAUCAUCUUGCAUAAUGGUUUUCAAUCUUUCUCUCGUUCGGACUCAAGAUAUGCAAAACCAACAUUAAAUGUCUUUGCAGUCGAUGUGUCACCAACUAUUUCUAACAACGGAAACUUAUACUUAUUGACUUUAUAAGUGCAGUCCAUUAUCAGAACACUUGGAAAAGCUUUUAACAAAUCAAAAGUAAGAGGAUGUGCCCAAAAUAUGUCUUUCACACAAUUUGUAUCAUCAUCACUCCGAUGCCACUCAAUGUAAUUAUGAUCAUGCAAUUUACUCAUAAGCUGUUGCAUUUGUGACCGUCCGCCCAAUUCGCGAACCUUAUAUUUAUACCGAGCAUUAUAAACCGUCUUCAUUGUUGUAACAUUAAAUGUAUCCCUAGUCUUUAAAGUAUGUAAUAUCUCUUUUGGCCGAACAUUAUUUUUAGACAAAUCAACCAAUAUACUAACAUCUUCAUUAGUAAGUCUACCUGCAAAUGAGUGGCCCUCAAGAUAUUGUGCAAAAUGAUGGUUAUGCAAUCCACAGAUUACUUUUAACACCCAAUCUUGAUUAUUCACCAACAUUUGACCCUUUAAUAAAAAUGGACAGCCACACUUUUUUGUUCCAAUUGCAUUCGGUCUUUUCUUCUUUUCCAAGUCGCUAUUCUGCUUAGACAUGUUGGUACUUCUUUUCGGAUAUGCACCACUUCUUUCACAAGCAAAAAUUAUCCUUGGUCUCCUUCCAAUCACAUUCACGUCAGAUCUUUUAAUAAUAAUCACAAGUCCAUUUUUUUCCCAACAUCAUGCAUCCAUCGAAUCAACUUGUCUCUACUGGUGAAAACCUAUGAGAAAGACAAUAAUAUAUUAGUUAAUGAUACAAAGAAAAGAGAAUAUAUGUAUGAAAAUUUAUUUAGCAUUUUACCUCUUCAGUAGUGAAUGCAGCAGUGUAAUCCAUAACAUCUACUUUAUUAUCAAGAAUGGCAACUAUGGUAGAACUUUCCUCCUUCACAAUCAUUGUAAGAUAUUACAUAAGUUAAUACAAGACACAAAACUCGAAUAAUAGCAAUUUAUUCAGCAAUAAUCAACCAAACAAUUGACAUUUGUUAAGGGGAUAUUUGUUGAACAUUGUUCAACGCUCUCCUUGUCAUUAUAAUUCUAAAACAAUAAAUUAAUAGCAAACUUACUUUUUUAUUAUCAUCCUCAUAUGUUUGCAUGAAUACUUUGCCCUAAAUUUGAAACUCUUAGAUUAGGGUUUAAGAAAGAAAAGAGAGUUUAUACCGUAUGCCGUAUAAAGAAUUUAAAACUCUUAAACAAAAAUAUGCCGUAUAAGAAAUUUUUAAGGGGAAAAAAAUAUUUGAUUUUGAGUGGGGGUUUAAUUAGAAAUUGUCUUAUUAUGUAAUUUUAAUAAAGGUUNNNNNNNNNNNNNNNNNNNNNNNNNNNNNNNNNNNNNNNNNNNNNNNNNNNNNNNNNNNNNNNNNNNNNNNNNNNNNNNNNNNNNNNNNNNNNNNNNNNNNNNNNNNNNNNNNNNNNNNNNNNNNNNNNNNNNNNNNNNNNNNNNNNNNNNNNNNNNNNNNNNNNNNNNNNNNNNNNNNNNNNNNNNNNNNNNNNNNNNNNNNNNNNNNNNNNNNNNNNNNNNNNNNNNNNNNNNNNNNNNNNNNNNNNNNNNNNNNNNNNNNNNNNNNNNNNNNNNNNNNNNNNNNNNNNNNNNNNNNNNNNNNNNNNNNNNNNNNNNNNNNNNNNNNNNNNNNNNNNNNNNNNNNNNNNNNNNNNNNNNNNNNNNNNNNNNNNNNNNNNNNNNNNNNNNNNNNNNNNNNNNNNNNNNNNNNNNNNNNNNNNNNNNNNNNNNNNNNNNNNNNNNNNNNNNNNNNNNNNNNNNNNNNNNNNNNNNNNNNNNNNNNNNNNNNNNNNNNNNNNNNNNNNNNNNNNNNNNNNNNNNNNNNNNNNNNNNNNNNNNNNNNNNNNNNNNNNNNNNNNNNNNNNNNNNNNNNNNNNNNNNNNNNNNNNNNNNNNNNNNNNNNNNNNNNNNNNNNNNNNNNNNNNNNNNNNNNNNNNNNNNNNNNNNNNNNNNNNNNNNNNNNNNNNNNNNNNNNNNNNNNNNNNNNNNNNNNNNNNNNNNNNNNNNNNNNNNNNNNNNNNNNNNNNNNNNNNNNNNNNNNNNNNNNNNNNNNNNNNNNNNNNNNNNNNNNNNNNNNNNNNNNNNNNNNNNNNNNNNNNNNNNNNNNNNNNNNNNNNNNNNNNNNNNNNNNNNNNNNNNNNNNNNNNNNNNNNNNNNNNNNNNNNNNNNNNNNNNNNNNNNNNNNNNNNNNNNNNNNNNNNNNNNNNNNNNNNNNNNNNNNNNNNNNNNNNNNNNNNNNNNNNNNNNNNNNNNNNNNNNNNNNNNNNNNNNNNNNNNNNNNNNNNNNNNCUUGGCCGUACAGCAGUACAUUUAUUUUAAUAUCACAUUUAUAUUUAUUAUAAAAUAUAAAAUUAAUAAAAUUAAAGAGUAUUGCAGUAAAGUAAAAAAAAAAGUCUUAUUAUCCCAUAUUCACGGUAUGAGUUUCUACAAAAUUAUUUCCUCAAAUGGGUGACCUUUCCUCAUUUUCAAAAGAAAAAAUAAAGUAAGAAUAAGUCCAGGGUUUCAAAAACUUCUAGUCUUAUCCCAAGACCUCCAUUGUCUACCACUAUGACUAAUGGAAAUGACAUUGCAAUUGACAUUGCUUUUCGCAACAUGACAAAUUUUUGGUGGGAUAUGAGAGAAUUGUCAAAAGUUCAUGCCGCGUGAGAGUUUUUGGUGGGAUGUGGGAGAAUUGUCAAAAGAUCACACCACGUGAUAUAACCAUAAUUGCUACAAUUUUUUUUAAUAAUGAUGGGAGUUAUAAAUUAUUUAUAUAAAUUUGUGUAGAAACUAAUGUAACAUAAAAGAAGUAGCUGAAUAACAAUAUUUGGUGCUUUAGGUAAUUUUUAUAUGAGCCUUUCUUUUAUUUAGCGACUUUAGUGCUUAAACAAAUUUGUCCUCGAUCUUAAUUUACUUACCCCAUUUAAGCCUAUGAUGACAUAAACAUAUUCUUUUGUGACGAAAACAUCAAGAGAAGACAUCUCAUGUUUUAUUAUAACACAAAAGAAGUGGUCCAAACGUCUAUUCAUUCUUUUAUUUACUCAAUAUGAAUGGCCAACUUUAAAAAAUGAUAAAAAUCACACCACGCUCAACUGAAAAUUUAUAAUUACAUUUUUUAAUACUCUCUAUACUCUCUAGCCUCUCUCUCCUGCCCCCUUUUUUUUUUAAAAAAUAAACCUUAGUGUAAAAUUAGAAGAAUUUUAGAUAUAACAUUUGACAAUCGCUAAAUAGAAAAGUAGGGGAUUGAAAAUAGAGGAGCUCUGUUAUCAUUGGAAUAUUGAUUAUAGAUCAUAUAAUAACUUGUUGUGGUUCAUUGUAGCACUCUGAGUCAUAUUCUAAAAUUUAUAGGUUUCUUAAGGUUUUUAUUAUUGACAUUAUUGUGUCAAUACUAUUAUAAUUUAUUCAUUUUAUUGUAAUGAUAAUUUGUCUAGUCUUAGGUACUUAUUAUAUUAAAUUAUGUAAAUUAAUUGAGAAUACAUUUAGAGACAAAAGAAACACGUGUAUGUAGGAUUAAUAAUCGCAGAGUUGUAAAUGAAGGUGAUUGCUUCAUUGAGAGGCAUAUUAAAUAAUUAUGGAGAGUUGCACUAUUUCGGAAGCAUAUAUUUAUACUUCCCUAUCAGGAUUUGGGGUAAGCGAAGUGCUUUAUGUGUUGUAGUAAGCAAUGUGGGCAAUAUCGGAGGCGAAAUAUUAAAAGAUCAUAACGCAUAUAUUUGAGCCAUUUAUAUUGAAGACACGUAUUGAAGACACGUAUAGAGGAAAGAGUGCAUAUCCGGCGGUAACUAUUAUCAGGCUUUCCUAAAAUAUUCUCAUGCUUCCUCAACUGUUCUGAACUAUUCUUCAUAGUGGGCAGAUUUACUUAAAUACCCUUCUACCUAACAAAACUUGGUACUUCUAAUUGCACUCGCAGAGAAUCUAUAAAAUUAAAAAAAAAUUCAUCCAUGAAAAGCCUCGUAACAGAAAAACCAUCUUUCAAAAAAUAAUAAUAAAAUAAAAACAGAAAAACCGACUCAUUUAUCUGCCAAUGAACCAAUCGGGACUCAUUUAAAAAAGAUUACAAAGCAAAAGUAAAUGACACAAAUUGCAUAGAUAUCUAGGAGCCGCAUCAAAGGGCAAUGGUGUUAAUUUGUCCGAGUAAUAAUUAAUUUCAAUAUUAAUUUUUAAAAUGGAAAUUAAUUUAUUUAUAUUUAUAAAAUAUUUGUAAUUAUUUUAAAAUUUUAACUAAAUCCUUAGGUUAAAUAGAUUUUACAAUUAAUAUAAUAUUUCUCAUGUAUUAAUAAUAUUAAAAUUAUUUUAUAUGAUAUUGAAAAUAACCUAAAUUUUUAUAUAUUUAUUUGAAUAUUAUGUCUCUAUUUAUUAUAAUUUGGUUUAAUAGAAUACGAGAUUGUAAAAUAUUAAAAUUUUUNNNNNNNNNNNNNNNNNNNNNNNNNNNNNNNNNNNNNNNNNNNNNNNNNNNNNNNNNNNNNNNNNNNNNNNNNNNNNNNNNNNNNNNNNNNNNNNNNNNNNNNUCCUAUUUAUAUUUAUCAUAAAUUAUUAGAGUUAAUUUUUUUAGUUAAUAAAUUUAAAAACUAUUCUAAUUUUAAAAAAAAGUCUUAUUGUCUAUUAUUCAUGAUAUGAGGUUCUACAAAAUUAUUUCUCCAGACGGAUGUCCUUUUCUUAUUUUCAAAAGGAAAAACAAGUUCAGGGUCUCAGGGGUUUCAAAAAUUCUGGUCCUAUCUACCACUAUGACUAAUGGGAAACAACAUUGUAAUUGACAUUGCUUUUCACAAUAUGACAAAUUAUUGGAGGGAUAUGGGAGAAUUGUCAAACAUUCACACCACGCGAGAGCUUUAGUGUGGGAUAGGGGAGGAUUGUCAAGAGUUCACACCACGAGAAACUAAUGAUAGGCCCAAUUUCAUUGUCAAUUCUUUAUUUAUUUCAUGCAUUAUUGUUUUUCUAAAGGUAUAAAAGCAAAGUAAAAUACUAGGGGCGCUUUUAAGUUACAAUUGAUGUAACUUACAAUUUUUUCAAAAAUAAUGUAAAAAAAUUAAUAGGUGGUGGGACCCACAUAUUUUUUAAGAGACUUAAGUUACGGCAGUUGUAACUUAACAAAAUUUAAAUAUUAGAUAAUAAUACAUAUUAAUAAUAUAUAAUUUGGGUUUGAUUUUUAAAAGAUUAUUUGAGUACCACCUAUCCUUAUGAUAUUAAUGUGACUAUAUCUUAAUAUUAAAUAAUCAAAAUUUGUUUAAUUGUUAUUUGUAUUUCAUACAUUACAUAUUAGAUUUGUUUGAAUUUUAAGUUGUUGCUAAUAAAUAUUUAUGUUGUCAAAGUCAAAUUCAAUAGCUACAAAAGCAGAGAUAAUGGUAUUGUAUAUAGUUUUUAAGAAUGCAAGGAUAAGCUGGAUAAUUGACAUAAAUUCUAAUGAUUAAAACAGCAACUAUCCCUUAAGUUAUAAUGUCAAUUUCUUUAAUUAGAUUUUUUUUUUUAUGUGAUAUAACCACAAUUGCUACAAAUUUUUUUUUUUAUAAUAAUAAUGGGAGUUAUAAAUUAUUUAUAUAAAAUUUGGGUUGAAACUAAUGUAACCUAAAAGUGGUUGCUGAAUAACAAUAUUUGAAACUUUAGGUAAUUUUCAUGAGUCCUUUUUAUAUUCAGCAACUUGAAUUGGGGGAAAUCCGACUUGAAUUGGCGGUUGAUUUUCGUGAUGUGGCUUUUGGUUUAUGGCGACCUUACAGUGGCAGAAGACUGGAUUUACGGUUGCCGACUGCUAGGGAUUAUGGUGGGGGUGUAAAUUGACGGAAAAAGAAGGUGUUUUGGUGGCGGCGCGUGUAGGAAGCACUCGUGGGUUGUCGUUUCGUGUGGUGGCGGGCGGCGAUCAAGGGCUGAAGUUGGUCGGUUUUUGGUCAACGGAGGCCGGCGAGUUUGUUGGUGGAGGUGGCUGGUGGAGAAAGUGACUGAAUGGUGGUGGGUUGCUUGGUGGAGCCGCGGGUUUGGGUUGGUGAUUUGUGGCUGUUCAAGCGGCGGUUGAGGCAGCGAUGACUGAGGCUUGGUCGACGGUGGCUAGUGAGGUUUGUGGUGGUGUUGGCUGACUGAUCGGCGGUGGUGGGCGGCCGUGGAGGUUGAUGUGACGGGUAGGGUUUUCAAAUUUGUAAAUUUUUUUUUUUGAUGGAUUUGGUUUGGAUGGGUAUCGUGUAUCUAGGAAAGAUGUGCGAUUCGCACAGAAUCCCUUUGACACCAAUUGAUGGAGCGAGGCGUAGCGGAAGCGGAAUUGAUAGGGUAAGAAACAUUAGAUAUUGUUCUAGUACUAGACCAAGCCAACGCAAUUAGCUUACGCUCUAAUCGAAGCGUGAUUAGAUAUCGUUCUAAUCCAAAUAACUCAAUACGAUUUUUAAUAAUGCGUAAUACGAGAUUAAAUGACACUCUAAUCCAAACGACUCUACAAGAGAGAUUUUGAUAAAUAAUCAUAGAGGGGUUUUAUUUAAUAAUUGAACCUGAAGUUAAUGAAAAUAAUGACAAGACAUCUUUAUUUUUUUUUAUUACAGACAUCUUUAUUUAUAAUAAAAGAAACCCGCUUUCCUAAGUUAACCUAAAAAGAAAAUUUAAAUCAUAAUUAUAAUGGAAAUAAAAGAUUAAGAUACAUAUCAUAAUUGACUCAAACUAAAAUAGAAAAUCAUAAAAUAAUAAAUAUUCUAAAAUUAUAAAUUAUCUAAAAUAACGUUAAUUAACUUCCUAAAUCACUUCUUUGGUGUAAACCAUUUUGCAUCCAAACUCGCUUUAAAGGUUUGAACUAACGUUACCAACAACAAUGUAUCAAAUUCCAAUCUAACUUAAGAUCUUGAUGCAUCUAUCGAUGUCCUUGUUUGAUUAGACAAUAAUGAGUCUAUCUCAUCACUUGUUACCUCUUUCUUGAAAGCUACAUCUGUUGAAGUGAUAGCCUCACUUAGAGUUUAAAGAUCUUCUUCCCUGUUAAAUAAAAUGGGCAUUUGAGUAAAAAGCUUUAUCUCUAUCUCCUUCUAUCAAAUAACGACAACUAUCCAAAGGGAAAAAAAAAAUUAGAAAAGUCCAUGGGUCACAAUAAUUUAUGGUCUGUCUCCGGACCCCAUUAUCUGCCACUAUCAAUGAUGAAAAUGAAAAUAAAUGGCAUCUUCCCUAAAUGGCAAAAGAUUUUUGGGGGAUAUAGGGGAAUUGUCAAAAGUUCAUACAACGCGAAAUAAGUGUUACAUCCAAUUUUAUUUCGUCAUAUAAUGAUAAUAUUCUGCUAAGUUAAGCUGUUGUAACUUGCAGUCCCUUAAAAAAUAAUGUAAAAAAUCCACAUUUGUUUGAAGAGGCUGUAAGUUAUAGUAGUUGUGACUUAGCAAAAUCCAAAUAUUAGACAAUAACGCACAUUAACAAUGCAUAUAAUUUGGGUUUGAUUUUUAAAAAAAUUAUUUGAGUAUUAGCUAUCCUUAAGAUAUUAAUGUGAAUAUAAUUUAAUAUUUAAUAAUCAAAAUCUGUUUAAUCAUAAUAUAUAUUUCAUACAUUGCAUGUUUAAUCAAAAUCUGAUUGCUUUUUACCUUCCAUUUACGCCCACUGUAGCAUUGUACUAUUCACCAUUUUAGAUGUUUAAAUGAAAUUUUUAUUUUUUUUCCAAAAAUAAAAUGACACCCUUAAAAUUUUAGAAAAUAGCCAUGUAGACCCCAAAAUUUUAAUAAAGAACACUAAUAUCCUUUUUAACUACAGCACUCUUAGUAGAUGGUAACCAAAAAAAAAAAAUUGAUUGCAAAAUUUUUUAGUAAAUGUAAAUAUGAUUUAAAUAGUUUAAAUUUUCUAGUAGACUAGUAUGUAUAAUUUAAAUAAUUAAUUUUUAAAAUGUAAUUUAAUAUAUUUAUUAUAAAAUUUUUAAACAAAUCCUUGGGUUAAAUAGAUUUUAUAAUUUAUAUAAUAUUUCUCAUGUUUUUAUGUUAUAGAAAUAUUAAAAUUAUUUGAUAUGAUAUUGAAAAUAAUUAAACAUUUUAUAUAUUUAUUUGAAUAUUAUGUCUCUAUUUAUUAUAAUUUGGUUUAAACAUCCGCCUUGGCCGUACAGCAGUAUUGAAAUUAUUUUAAUAUGUACAUAUUAUUAUAUUUAUUUUAAUAUCCUACUUAUAUUUAUUAUAAAAUAUUAAAAUUAAUUUUUUUAGUUAAUAAAUUUAAAAAAUAUUAUAAUUAUAAAAAGAGUCUUAUUGUCUGCUAUUCACGAUAUGAGAUUCUACAAAAUUAUUUUGAAAAUGAAAAAUAAGUCCAGGGGUUUCAACAAAUUCUAGUCCUAUCUGCCACUAUGACUAAUGGAAACGACAUUGCAAUUGACAUUGGUUUUCAUAAUAUGACAAAUUUUUGGAGGCAUAUGGGAGAAUCAUCAAAUGUUCACACUACGCGGGAGUUUUGGAUGGGAUCAGGGAGGAUUGUCAAGAGUUCACACCACGAGAAACCAAUGAUAGCCCUAAUUUCGCUGUCAGUUCUUUGUUUAUUUAUUUUAUUUAUUUCAUACAUUGUUGUCUUGUUGGCAUUGUUUUGUAAAAUAAAAGUAAAGUAAACUAUUAGGGUGCUGCUAGGUUAAGUUGUUGUAACUUACAGUCCCUUAAAAAAUAAUGUAAAAAAUUUAACAUGUGGUGGGAUCCACAUAUGUUUGAAGAGGCCGUAAGUUACAGUAGUUGUGACUUAGCAAAAUCCAAAUAUUAGACAAUAACGCACAUUAACAAUGCAUAUAAUUUGGGUUUGAUUUUUAAAAAAAUUAUUUGAGUAUUAGCUAUCCUUAAGAUAUUAAUGUGAAUAUAAUUUAAUAUUUAAUAAUCAAAAUCUGUUUAAUCAUAAUAUAUAUUUCAUACAUUGCAUGUUUAAUCAAAAUCUGAUUGCUUUUUACCUUCCAUUUACGCCCACUGUAGCAUUGUACUAUUCACCAUUUUAGAUGUUUAAAUGAAAUUUUUAUUUUUUUUCCAAAAAUAAAAUGACACCCUUAAAAUUUUAGAAAAUAGCCAUGUAGACCCCAAAAUUUUAAUAAAGAACACUAAUAUCCUUUUUAACUACAGCACUCUUAGUAGAUGGUAACCAAAAAAAAAAAAUUGAUUGCAAAAUUUUUUAGUAAAUGUAAAUAUGAUUUAAAUAGUUUAAAUUUUCUAGUAGACUAGUAUGUAUAAUUUAAAUAAUUAAUUUUUAAAAUGUAAUUUAAUAUAUUUAUUUUAAUAUUUUUAAACAAAUCCUUGGGUUAAAUAGAUUUUAUAAUUAAUAUAAUAUUUCUCAUGUUUUAAUAAUAUUAAAAUUAUUUGAUAUGAUAUUGAAAAUAAUUAAAACUUUUAUAUAUUUAUUUGAAUAUUAUGUCUCUAUUUAUUAUAAUUUGGUUUAAUAGAAUACGACAUUGUAAAAUAUUAAAAUAUUUUUAGGUAUUGAAAUUAUUUUAAUAUGUACAUAUUAUUAUAUUUAUUUUCUGCUGUACGGCCAANNNNNNNNNNNNNNNNNNNNNNNNNNNNNNNNNNNNNNNNNNNNNNNNNNNNNNNNNNNNNNNNNNNNNNNNNNNNNNNNNNNNNNNNNNNNNNNNNNNNNNNNNNNNNNNNNNNNNNNNNNNNNNNNNNNNNNNNNNNNNNNNNNNNNNNNNNNNNNNNNNNNNNNNNNNNNNNNNNNNNNNNNNNNNNNNNNNNNNNNNNNNNNNNNNNNNNNNNNNNNNNNNNNNNNNNNNNNNNNNNNNNNNNNNNNNNNNNNNNNNNNNNNNNNNNNNNNNNNNNNNNNNNNNNNNNNNNNNNNNNNNNNNNNNNNNNNNNNNNNNNNNNNNNNNNNNNNNNNNNNNNNNNNNNNNNNNNNNNNNNNNNNNNNNNNNNNNNNNNNNNNNNNNNNNNNNNNNNNNNNNNNNNNNNNNNNNNNNNNCUUGGCCGUACAGCAGAUAUCCCACUUAUAUUUAUUAUAAAAUAUUAAAAUUAAUUUUUUUAGUUAAUAAAUUUAAAAAUAUUAUAAUUAAAAAAAGAGUCUUAUUGUCUGUUAUUCACGAUAUGAGGUUCUACAAAAUUAUUUUGAAAAGGAAAAAUAAGUCCAGGGGUUUCAACAAAUUCUAGUGCUAUCUGCCACUAUGACUAAUAGAAACGACAUUGCAAUUGACAUUGCUUUUCUUAAUAUGACAAAUUUUUUUAGGGAUAUGGGAGAAUCGACAAAUGUUCACACUACGCGGGAGUUUUAGAUGGGAUCAGGGAGGAUUGUCAACAGUUCACACCACGAGAAACCAAUGAUAGCCCUAAUUUCGCUGUCAGUUCUUUGUUUAUUUAUUUUCAUUAUUUCAUACAUUGUUGUCUUGUUGGCAUUGUUUUGUAAAGAUAUAAAAGUAAAGUAAACUAUUAGGGUGCUGCUAAGUUAAGUUGUUGUAACUUACAAUCCCUUAAAAAAUAAUGUAAAAAAUCCACAUUUGUUUGAAGUGGCUGUAAGUUAUAGUAGUUGUGACUUAACAAAAUCCAAAUAUUAGACAAUAACGCACAUUAACAAUGCAUAUAAUUUGGGUUUGAUUUAAAAAAAAAAAAUUUUGAGUAUUACCUAUCCUUAAGAUAUUAAUGUAAAUAUAAUUUAAUAUUAAAUAAUCAAAAUCUGUUUAAUCAUAAUAUAUAUUUCAUACAUUGCAUGUUUCAUCAAAAUUUGAUUGCUUUUUACCUUCUAUUUACGCCCACUGUAGCAUUGUACUAUUCACCAUUUUAGAUGUUUAAAUGAAAUUUUUAUUUUUUUCCAAAAAUAAAAUGACACCCUUACAAUUUUAGAAAAUAGUCAUGUAGACCCCAAAAUUUUAAUAAAGAACACCAAUACCCUUUUUGACUAUAGUACUCUUAUGGUAGCCACAAAAAAAAAUUGACUUCAAAAUUUUUUAGUAAAUGUAAAUACGAUUUAAAUAGUUUAAAUUUUCUAGUAGACUCGUAUGUAUAAUUUAAAUAAUUAAUUUUUAAAAUGUAACUUAAUAUAUUUAUUUUAAUAAUAUAUUUAUUAUAAAAAUUUUAAACAAAUCCUUGGGUUAAAUAUUUUUAUAAUUAAUAUAAUAUUUCUCAUGUUUUAAUAAUAUUAAAGUUAUUUUAUAUGAUAUUGAAAAUAAUUUAAAGCUUUAUAUAUUUAUUUGAAUAUUAUGUCUCUAUUUAUUAUAAUUUGGUUUAAUAUAAUACGAGAUUGUAAAAUAUUAAAAUAUUUUUUGGUAUUGAAAUUAUUUUAAUAUGUACAUAUAUAUUAUAUUUAUUUUAAUAUCCUACUUAUAUUAUUAUAAAAUAUUNNNNNNNNNNNNNNNNNNNNNNNNNNNUUUGCAACUGCUGUACCGUACAUCCGCCUUGGCCGUACAGCAGCUACUUAUAUUAUUAUAAAAUAUUAAAAUUAAUUUUUUUAGUUAAAAAUUUAAAAAAAUAUUACAGUUAAAAAAAAAGAGUCUCAUUGUCCGUUAUUCACGAUAUGAGAUUCUAUAAAAUUAUUUUCAAAAGGAAAAAUAUGUCCAGGAGUUUCAACAAAUUCUAGUCCUAUCUGCCACUAUGACUAAUGGAGACGACAUUGAAUUGACAUUGCUUUUCGCAAUAUGACAAAUUUUUGGAGGGAUAUGGGAGAAUCAUCAAGCGUUCACACCACGCGAGAGCUUUAGGUGUGAUAUGGGAGAAUUGUUAAGAGUUCACACCACGAGAAAUUAAUGAUAGGCCUAAUUUCGUUGUCAGAUCUUUAUUUAUUUUUUAUUUAUUUCAUACACUAUUGUCUUGUUGGUAUUGUUUUGUAAAGAUAUAAAAGUACAAGUAAAAUAUUAGGGGAAGUAAAGUAAAAUAUUGGAGGUGCUACUAAGUUACAGCUGCUGUAACUUACAGUUCCUUAAAAAAUAAUGUAAAAAAUUUAACACGUGGUGGGACCCACAUUAUGUUUGAAGAGGUCGUAAGUUAUAGCAGUUGUAAAUUAGUAAAAUCCAAAUAUUAGACAAUAAUACAUAAUAACAAUGCAUAUAAUUUGAGUUUGAUUUUUAAAAAAAUUAUAUGAGUAUUACCUAUCCUUAAGAUAUUAAUGAGAAUAUAUUUUAAUAUUAAAUAAUCAAAAUCUGUUUAAUCAUAAUAUGUAAUUCAUACAUUGCAUGUUAGAUUUGUUUGGAUUUUAAGUUGUUGCUAAUAAAUAUUUAUGUUGUGAAAGUCGAAUUCAAUAGCUACAAAAGCAGAGAUAAUGGUAUUUUAUGUAGUUUUUAAGAAUACAAGGAUAAGUAGGGGUGGGCAAAUCGGGUUUCGAUUCGGGUUGUUCGGGUUUCGGAUUGGGUUUCAACCCGUUCGGGUUGGAGAAUUGAACCCAAUCGGGUUGAAAGCACCAACCCGAACCAAACCGAACCGAAUUUAAUUCGGUUCGGUUCGGUUUGGGUUGGCAAUUCGGAUCGGAUUGGGUUGAUAAUUCGGGUUAAAAUUUCGGUUCGGGUUAAUUCGGGUUAGAAUGGGUUGGAACAAUUUAAUCUAAAAAUUCUAACAACAACCACUUAAAAUCUAAAAAUUUAAAUUUCAAACAUUCUUAACAACAAAUAUCAAUUACAAAUCAUCCUUAAUAACAUUUCAACAAUUUAAAAAUCUCAAUUCCAAACAUUCCAAACAUCCUUAAGGAACGAUUUAAUCUAAAAAUUAUAACAACCUCUUAAAAUCCAAAAAUCUUAAUUCCAAAUAUCCUUAAUAACAAAUAUCAUCUACAAAUCAUCUUUAAUAACAUUUCAAUAAUUUAAAACUCUCAAUUCCAAACAUCCUUAAUAACAAAUAUCAACUACAAAUCAUCUUUAAUAACAUUUCAAUAAUUUAAAACUCUCAAUUCCAAACAUCCUUAAUAACAAAUAUCAACUACAAAUCAUCUUUAAUAACAUUUCAAUAAUUUAAAACUCUCAAUUCCAAACAUCCUUAAUAACAAAUAUCAACUACAAAUCAUCUUUAAUAACAUUUCAAUAAUUUAAAACUCUCAAUUCCAAACAUCCUUAAUAACAAAUAUCAACUACAAAUCAUCUUUAAUAACAUUUCAAUAAUUUAAAACUCUCAAUUCCAAACAUCCUUAAUAACAAAUAUCAACUACAAAAAAAAAAAAAAAAAAAAGCUUCAACCCGAACGGGUUGAAGCUUUGAAUCCGUUCGAGUUUCACCGGUUAACCCAAACCGAACCGAACGCCCACCCUAAGGAUAAGACCAUAACGCAUGAGAUAAUGGUAUUUUAUAUUAAAAGACCAUAACACAUGUAUUUGAGCCAUUUAUAUUGAGGACACAUAUAGAGCGAAGAGUGCAGAUCCGGCCGUAACUAUUGUGAAGCUUCCCUCAAGUAUUCCCAUGCACACAACCCUUAUCUGUUCAAGUUUUCUGAUUCAAUAUAAUCAAUUUCCGAGCAGUACUGACGACAGCUUCUCUGUAAAGCUCUUCAACCACAAGCAUUUCUACAAGGCAAAAGACUAGGACGUGUCGGAAUGAAUAUCAAUAAGGGAAUGUCUUAUGAAUUCAGUUUAUAUCCUAAUAUAAGACAAUCAGUAAAUAUUGGAUGCAAUCUUAGGCUAACAUUUGGUUGAUCAUUAUACAAAAAAAAAGGUACAAAAAUACAAAACAGAGCUGAUUGAUGGCCUCUCACAGUCAGUUAUAUGACAAAGUAGCCAUCACUACUUGAACUUGGCUGGAGGUCUCAUUAGCAGUAUACCUCAGAAAUUAAUACAGAGACUUUAAAAUGCAAACUUAUGGAGCAAUUUAAGCACUGAAACUAAUAACAGUACGGUAUUAGCAAUUGACCUCUGCUUUUUGCUUGGACAAAGGUUCUCAUCACAAGGGACUCAUUAGUUGCCCUUGCCUCACACUUUUGGAUGCUAAGGGGAAAAAGGAAGCUUGAAUUAGUCAAUCUCAUGUCUAAUGGCAUUCACAGAGAACCUAUAAAACCAAAUAAAUAAAUAAAGUUUUCAUCCAUGAAAAGCUUAGUAAUGGAAAAACCGACUCUUUUAUCUGCCACUGACGAAAAAAAAACUGAAGUAUUAAAUAGAUAAUGAAUUUAAUUUUUUUCUUGGAAAAACUAAUAAUAAAUUAACAAUUAGAUAGUACUAUUAAUUAGAGAUCUUUAAUAUUAAGGUUAUCAAAUAUAGAAUGUGUAUAAAAAUUCUUAAUUAUAAGAUAAUUACUAACUAAAAAGAGGCCUAAAAAAGAAGAUUUGCUAUUAUAAGUAAUACCAAAAAUAAAAAGGGAGACUUCCUAAUUGUUUAAUUGUUAAAAAAGAGGAUUUGUUAUUAUAGGCCUAAUUUGCCUAUGCUUAAAACCGUUCCCGGAUGUAAAAAAAUAAAAAUUAUUGUUAAAUUCCUGACUAAUAAGGUCAUUGAAAGUAUUCAAAGGACCUGAACUAUACCACGUUGCAAGUGAGCUCGUAUUUUUAUCCCUUGAUCUGCCAUCGGUAUUUCUCUUCCACUCACUAUACCAUCCUUUUCAAUCGAUUUUUAUUGAUCAUAAGAGACCAUGUGGCCCACCUUUUUUUUAUUUUGGAUCCAUAACCCAAUGCUGGCCCAAGUUAAACAGCAAAUCAUCAAACGCACUUCAAUGACUUUGAUUUUGAUUUUUUUUUUCAAAAGAAGUAAAAAAAUCCAUGGGUCGCAAUAACUGCUGGGAAAUUUAUAAAAAUAGUCAUAAAAUAUUUGUAUUUUUUAACUUUAAUCCCUUAAAGUUUUUUCUAUCAUAACUAGCCAAAUACCCUACUUUUGGACUAGAUUACCCUCAUCACUUUUAUCAAAUUUAUAAAGACAUGCCACUUUUUCAAUUCCAGCACAACUAAAUACGGUUCUUCUUCAAUAACUUAACAAACAUUUAUCACUCUCAACAAACUUCAUCACUCUCUAUAAAUCAAUUACAUAAUUGAAUAUAAUCAUCAAUGGGAGAGCUUCUUAAAAUUAGUUUAUGCUUUUACACAAUGUAAAUCUUUAAUCUAUUGAUUUUAUCAACUAAGUUCGAAAUUAAAGUGGGUUUUGUUACAAAUAUUGUUAUUUUUCAUUCAUAAAACAAUGUGAUUUGUUAAAGUACUUAGUUUGAGUUGAGAAAUGAAGAAAAAUCAUUGAAAAUAUAGAAAAAUCGGGCAAAAAACGAAGUUCAGAACAAGUGAGAUAGGCAAGUGGGACAGGUGCAUGUCUCACAUAAACGCACUGCAUUUAUGUGCGACAGGCACCUGUCCCACUGCUUGUCGCACAUAAACCCAUAAAUUUUAUAGAGUACAUGAUUUUGGAUUUGAUUUGUCUCGUCAUAAGCUUCGAAACAGUAUAUUAUACGCCUAAAACGAACAUAUGUAGCUCAAGUUAUAGCUUUUGCAAUAUAUAUGAAAUUUAGUGAGACAGGCACCUGUCCCACUUGCCUGUCUCACUAAAUUUCAUAUAUGUUUCAAAAAUCAUAACUUGAGCUAUAUAUGUCCGUUUUAGACGUAUAAUAUAUCAUUUCAAAGUUUAUGAUGAGACAAAUCAAAUUCAAAAUUAUGUACUCUAUAAAAUUUGUGGGUUUACGUGCGAUAGGCAAUGGGACAGGUAAAAUGAAUAAACUCUGAGCCUCUCUCUAUAACACUAUAUAGAACCCUAAGCCUAAGUCUCACAUUCGCAACCGCCCCACAUAUCAGAACCACAGCGAACUGCCUCCGACCCUACGGACCCAAAAAAAUUAUUGUAUUCCUGCUCUUUCACUUCAAUAAUUUUUUGUAUUAUUCCAUAUCUUUCACUUUAAUAACCCAAAAGCUUUCCUCUGUUUCAACCCAAAAGCUCAAAUUCCUUUUUUCAAUCGAAAUAAAACGUAGCCACAAAACCCUAAUUCACCACACCAAUUUAUCUCUGCCCGGUAUUCAUUUAAACCCUACCUCGCGGUUCAAUGUCAUUCAAUACGAUUGCAGAUGCCGUUUCAACUUGACAUUUAGUUAGCGCCAUCCCGUUCUCUAUGGUAAGCCUUAACCCUAACAACUAAUCGACUGUGGUAGCACGUUGCUUGUUAGGAGUGGGGAUACAUUAUUUGAAUAUAUGAAUUGGGUGAUGUUAGUGAUUCAUUCCCCUAUUUUUCGUGAAUUGAGAUUUGUGUAUAAUGCUAGUAAGAUUGCUAAAAAUUUCAUAUUUUGUAUUGUUCCAGUUGAAUUUCAUGUUAAUUUAAUUCUUCUUUGCCUUCUUUUUUCUUCUUCUUUAUAGUCACGCUCUGGCUUUGGUGCUAUGCUUAGUGCAGUUUAUGGUUUCAAGAUUAAGUCACGUUUAUUUGAUGGCAUCGAUUCCAUCAUUAAGAAGCUCUUCUUAUUUUAUCUCAGUUUCAAUUUUCUUUUAUUAUCUGCCUCUACCUGAAAAUGGACGUGUUUUACUAGUAAGCAUAGACUUUGUUUAUUUAAUUGAUAUUAUAAUUUUAUGUAUAAGAAUGGAGGUUUAUUUUGAAAAAAAAAAAGAAAUAAAAAAAUAGACUCUGUUGAAGCUAAUUAGUACUGAAUUUUUUUUGGUGGUGCGACCAGAGGUGGAAACAGGGUAUGAAAAUGUGUUACUGGUGAGGUUGCUGCUUAAGAUGAGAAUGGCUAAAAAUCUGUCAUACGUUCAAAUUUUGUUUGUGUUUGGAAGAAUGGUGUUGACUGUAUAUUCGUUUGGAAGAAUGGUGUUGAUUGUAUAUUCAUUUGCUUAGCCUUUUGACAGAUGGAUUUGAAACUGACGACAAAUGUGAUUCAAUUUACAAGGUUUUCGAGGGGCUCACAGUGGAAGGGAUAUUGAAGAACUGGUCUAAGAUAAAGCCUAUGAUUGUGAAAGAUUGGAGUGAGAAUAUAGAUGCUCGUUUAAAUCUUUUUGGCAAGGUCAGAGAUGAAUGGAUAGAUAAGGAUUUAUUUGACUACUUCGUCUGGUGCUAAUAGGUAUUUUAGGCAAGCUUUUUGAGAUAACACUGAGCAAGUUAUACUACUAGUUUGCACAUGAUGAUCAAAACUCUCGAAAAGUAAAAUAAAAUAAAUUAUUAACUUUUACUUUCAUCUUUUGCAUAGCAAUCAAUGUGGUGCUUGUUCUGUGACAACUUUGAUAAUCUACUUAAUUAUUGGUUAGCAUUUGGACCAAAAAAGUUCUUAUGAUUUACAUGUUUUGUAGAAAUGCAUGAACCUUAAAUGUGCUGAUCAGGGAGUUUAAUUAUUGCACCUUGAAAUUCAUUUAUUGUUAACUAAUUGGCUUUCCUUUGCAUAAAGCCGCUUAUAAGGCUUGAGUGGACGUCUUUAUGGGCAUAUUAUUUGUAUUUCUAUAUGCAUGCCUUUAUCAUUAAUUUAUGUGCUGCUUGUAUUUCUUUAUGCAUGCCUUUAUCAUUUAAUGGCCAGCUCCCUCUCCUCUUUUGUAAUUUGAAUAGUAGUAUGGGCCUCCAUUUUACAAAUCUUUAACAUUUUUUGCUGUAAAUUAAUUUUUCUUCAAAUAUUUUGGAGGUCAUUGGAAUUCCUGUAGGUCUAUUUACCAGAUUUUAGUAUGUUUAAGGUUUUAAUUUUGCUUAGACUUUAAUUUCUCUGAAAGAUUGUAGUAUUGAUCCUCAAAGAAAGAUCAUGCUACUUCAAAUUAUUUUGAAGUGUUGCUAGUUAUAGCCUUACAUAUCAAAUUCCAUUUGUCUGGAAAUUUAUUGAUAGCUGUUACAGCAGCAUAUUUUAUGACUCUACUUCUUAGUUAUGUAAGUUCAUUAUGUUUAGGUCAGAGGCAGUCAGCUGUGGGGAAUUGAUAUAUACACAGAUGACUUUGAUCUUGUUGCCGGUAUGUGGUUCUAUGAAUAAUUGUUCACAAUAAUUGUGUUUGCCUCACUGUUUUUGUUUUAUGAGGUCUAUAAUUGAUCUUGAGAUAUUACUUUCUAGUUCUCAUGCAAGCAAGUUACUACCUUCCCACUGCAUCUCCUCCUUUAUCUGCUAUUCAAGAGUUGCGUGCCAUAAUCUGGUGUUACCUCUGCAAGAUUGUGAAUGAAUAUAAUGCCUCUAAAUUUAUUUUAUACAUAAUGCUGAUGCUGAAUAAUAUAUUGUAGCUCCUGUCAUAUUCUACUUUGACUUUUUAUAUUCUGUUUCAUAUAAAAAUCUUAUUCAACUUUAGUUGUUCAUGAGCAAAUGUCACAUGUAUAAGCCCAAAUGAUGUUUAAAGGUAGCGCGGCUACCUUUAGUUUGAGCCUACAAUGGAUGAAAAAGAAAUUGAAACUGAUAUUUUGCUGUUUUUCUGAUUUUUCAAAGUAUUUUAGAUCCUGACUUUUGUUUGGACUUGAUGGUUAUAGAUUGUGUCUAGAUUUGUUAAGUUGUUUCCAACACCUCGUGCCAAAUGAAAGCACAAUCUUUCUGAUUCAGAUGUCUUGUUAAUUUCGUUAAAGAAUGGAUGGUUGCAUGGAUUGAUGGAGUUGGAGUUCAACCAAUAAUUCUAAUUUUUUGGACUUAAAAUGCCUUUUUCUUCUGUAUAAAAACUUUAGUAAGUGCUAUUGAGUUGACAGAAGUUGAAUACUUACAGGUUGUUUCACACUUUUUAAUAGUUUUACAUAUAUGAAUUUCUGUUUUUUGAAUUGCAGAAAGGAGGUGGAACUAUUGAUUUGGAGCCUUAUCUUACUCAAUCAUCGACAGCGGAGCCUACCCUCGCUCCCAUGGCAGUGGAACGGACAACGACUACUAGGGCUGCAACAUCAGUUGGUUUGGGUCUGUUUUGAGUUUAUUUUCAUUUAUUUGGCUAUGUUUUGAUAGCGAAUUUUGAUAUGUCAAUAUAAUGUGUAAUUGUUUUGGGUUGAGCUGGUAAUUAUGCUGGAUUAGAUUGGUUUGGUUUUGGUGCUUCUCUGAUGGAACACUGUUUUUUUUAGAAAUUUUGAAUGUAAUAUGAGACUACAUUUAGUUUAAUUGAACACUGCAUCUAGUCUAAUUACUAGAAGUGUGGCAUUUGGUUUGGUUUAUCCGAUAUUCUCCAGAAUUUCACUUGCAUCUGGUUUUGUUGCAUAUGUUUGCUUGCAUUUGAUGGCAGUAGCAGACUGUUUGUUUUUGUGACAUUUGAUGGCAGUUUGGUCUGUUCUUGGUGUUGAUUUAAGAUUGUUCCUGUUGUGCUGAUGUUAAUUGCAGGUGCUUGAAUCAGCUAGGGUUGCUGGUUUAUUCAGAUGGUUGACUCAGGCGUUGUUACUGGUUAAUUCAGGUGGCUGACUCAAGUUGUUCAUUUAAUGUUAGGAAGCAAAUUAAGAAUUAAUGAAGUAUUCAUUUAACUAUAAUUUUUGUAGUUAUAUUAUUUCAUAACUGAAUUAUAAUCUAUGAUACUUUUGAACAAAUUAGAGAAUUUUUAAAUAUGAAUUAAAUAUGUGUGUGUAUGUACAUUUUGCUAUUUAUAUAAUAAUUUAAAGAAUAUAUUUCAAUUCCCACAAAAAUAAUGGCUCCAAUUUCAAUAAUUCCCGCCAAAUAAUUAAAUUUUUUUAAUUUACCACCAAAGUAUAUCUUAAAGAAAUUUUAGUUAUUCUUGCUAGAUUUAACAAAAAUAAUUUGUAGGAUUAAAUUUAAUUAAAAUAAUUAAAUAAUUUUAUUAUUCCAAUUAAAAAUGUCAUGUUUAUACGACAGACAAUAGUCAUGAAUGGGAAGUAUUCGUUACAUGUUUUUCCUUGGGAUUUCAGGCAAAUGAAAAAAAGAUUGAGAAUGAUUUCAAGAGGACAGGUGGAUGAUAAGUAUUCAUUUUUGUAUAUUUGGCUAAUGUCCUCAUUAGUGGAUUUUUAUGGUAUUGAUCUUUUUUUUUUUUUAAUUUUCAAUUAGUUGCAGCCCUAGAGGAAGAGCAGGCUGAUCAAAUUGAUUUGUCUUGUUUUUCGGGCAAUCUACGACACGAUGACCGUGAUAAUGCUCGUGACUGCUGGAAACUUUCUGAUGGAAAUAACUUUAGAGUUCGUAGCAAGCAUUUUUGUUAUGACAAAACAAAGGUAUUUGUUAUUUAUGGUACUUAUUUAUGGUAUUUAUAUAUCCUGCAUAGGCUAGGUAGACAGGUUAUGAUGUAGUUUGGUUGGCUCUUCUUGUGCUUUGUGCAAUUUGUAACUGCAGAUACCUGCGGGAAAACAUUUAAUGGAUCUUGUUGCUGUUGAUUGGUUCAAAGACACAAAGAGAAUGGACCAUGUAACUAGGCAUCAAAGCUGUGCUGCACAAGUAACUAUUCUUCUCUUUUUUAUUUUUCCUUUUCCAUUGACGGAUUAGAAGAAAAUACUGCCUGUGAGAUACUGUAAUGUAAAUAACUUCUCAUGGUUCAUUGAAUCUAUAACACACUGACCCUCUUCUAAAAAAUGUAGGUUGCUUCUGAAAAAGGGCUUUUCUCACUGAUCUUUAAUCUUCAAGUAAGUUUGUUUCAUUUCAGAAGGUAUUAAGUUUCAAACUUAUUGUAUUGGGAGGUUGUAUAGUUGUAACCUAAGCAUCUGCAGGUUCCUGGUUCAACACAUUAUAGUAUGGUAUUUUAUUUUGUCACAAGGCAAUUGGUUAUGGGAUCACUUUUGCAACGGUUUGUUGAUGGCGAUGAUGAGUUUCGCAAUAGUAGGUUGAAACUUAUUCCAUCUGUUCCUAAGGUAUCCAUCUUGGCCUUCAUGUAUUAGGACUAUAUUAACGUAUACUUACCCUUUACUGCAUGGUACACUUCAAUUUGUCCAAAGAAGGCAUGCAUUUAGGUGUAAAUGUAUUGAUGGGUUGUACCUUCAAACUUCAUGUCCUUUUUACCCUCUUGAAUUUGUUUUGCACUUGUUCUUGAUUUUAAGCACUGAACCAUGCAGGGGUCAUGGAUCGUGCGCCAGAGUGUUGGAAGCACCCCUUGCUUAUUGGGGAAAGCAGUUGAUUGUAACUAUAUUCGCGGUCCCAAGUACUUAGAAGUAAAUGCUCUUGGAAUUUCUAUAGUACAUGAGAUGUUCAUCUUUCAAAUAGCAUCCGAUACCAUUAACAUGGUUUAACAUUGUUCAUCUUUCUGUAGAUUGAUGUUGACAUUGGUUCUUCUACCGUUGCUAAUGGAGUUUUGGGCCUUGUAAUUGCUGUAAUUACGACAUUGGUGGUUGACAUGGCUUUCCUUGUACAGGUAUGUAUGAUUGUUUUUUUCCCCCACUUCUAAAUGGACACAAGGGAAAAGACAUGAUUUUGAGAUAUUGCACUGCAAUUUGCAUUUUUGCAUACUUGAAUGUUCUCAGAAUGGUAUAAUGCUUCGUGUGUGUCUUCUUUAUCUUGCUCUUCUGUAUGCAGGCAAAUACUACAGAUGAAUUACCGGAGCGGCUGAUUGGUGCUGUACGUGUUUCUCAUAUAGAACUCAAGUCUGCUGUUGUCCCAAAGUUGGAACCAGAGAUAUCAUGACUCUGGUUUCAUUUCACCUCAACUGUGUUUUUUUUUUAAUUAAAAAAAAUCAUUUGUUUUAGGUAUAUACAUACAUGUAUUUUGAUUCGAUUUUCAUUGUAAUUUCUCAUUUACUUCGAAUGAAAGUCAUUGGUGUUUUCGAAUGGGGAUUUUGCAUUAAAAAAUGAACAAUAGUGAAUAGGAAAUUUCCUGAUUCUUUAGUUACUAUUUUUGGUACGAGUGUAAUUAGUAGUAAAGUUGGUUUCUACUCGCAAACAAGUGAGCUGCUCGAUUCCCACUUGUUUAAGAGAUACUACUAUUAAAACUCAACAGCUAACAAAAUUACUCAAAAAAGAUGAUUUUUCUUAUGAUGCUGUGAAGAAAAUUACGGGUUUACUUCUCUCCACGAGAUCUAUAACAUGGUUUUGACUUCACGAAAUUCUUUUAAUUUAAAGCAUGCUGGUGUGAGAAGGUCAGUUUGACUGAUUGAUUCUUCAAAAAUAUUCUUAUUCUGAUAUUGUCACAAAUGUUAUGCUGUUUCGGCUAAUGAUCUCCUAUUAGGAGAGGUUAGAAAUCAAAUGCUUAAAAGACCGAUUGAACGAAUAAUACAGAAAAUUUAAGCAGAAUCUAAUCGAAUAUUGCAUGAAACAUGAAACAUCAAUUCAAGUCCUUUCUUAAACGGAGAAUGCAUCAAACAAAAUCUAAAGUGUCUUGCACGUCUGUAGCAUGAGCAAAAAAUUGUAAAUAUGUAGAACCAAAUUAUUCAAGUACAGAAGAACGAGCAAGCUGAAUCAUGUAUUAGAGAUUGGCCUGGUUCGGGAUAGCUUCUUCACUAUACCUGAAUAAUUUGCUAAAUAGCACCAAAACUUAAUUGAUACUUACCAUUUCAUUGAACAAUUUUUUUAUGGUGUCAUUGAGGUUGCCUUCCCAACAUCCUUCAUCAUCAUCAUCUUUUUCUUCUUCGGUGACGUUCACUUUGUUUAGCAUUGGUGUGUCUAAGACUCCUUGAGAGAAGAUCUUCAUUUUUGGACACUGUCUCACAACUACUUGUUUCAAGGACGGGAAUUCAAGAGCGUAAUUACCCAAACAAAAGCUUGUUAGGCUUGGCAAACAAU
This 39404-nucleotide long non-coding RNA is filed under the name Citrus sinensis (sweet orange). RNAcentral describes it as "long non-coding RNA (CSIN_LNC001225)". Lineage: Eukaryota; Viridiplantae; Streptophyta; Magnoliopsida; Sapindales; Rutaceae. The record is from RNAcentral.